AUGAAUACAAACUUUCAGUUUUGGAUUAGCCUAAACAAUUUUUUUCUUUUUUUCCAGGUGCUUUUUCUUCUUUCGCUUUGUAAAAAUGAAGGGGGAAAGCUCUGCCCUGGGGUAGUGCAGCUCCCUUUCCUGUUGUUCCAUCCUGUUGUUGGGCUAGGGAGCCACUUCCAGAUGUGUUUAUCCUGAAUGUCCUUAUCCUGUGUGCCAUUUGGUCAUGCUGAGCUCAAGAGGGAGCUUGCCCUGGACCCAGCUCAGAGGAUACUGCUGCAGGAGCCACUGCUCUGAGCAAAGCGCUGUGAAAACAUCCAGGAAACGUCUGUUCCUGCCCUAAUCCCUGAAAUGCGUCCCUCAUAAACACAGCCAAAAAAACUGGGUGCUUUUUCUGUGCAGAGUGGAGAGAGCUGCUGUGGGAACUUUGAGAGCUUGAGUGUCUUUUGAAUGUAAGUUCUCAGCACUGAAGUGCAUAAAUAGAGGGCUUUGCAUCUCAUAAUUUAUAAUUCAGCCCAAGACAUGCACUAAUACCUUUAUCAGAAUUGGGAACGUUGCUCAAAGCACAAAUCACUGAGGAACAGGCAGACAUUAAGGGCUGCUGUUUCUCUCUCUGUCUGGAAUAACAGCCAAGAAUCAGUGAGAUUUUCUCCUAAACAAAUCUUUCACUGUUGUGUGUGAAUAAAUAAAAUUUCUCUUUUUUUUUUUUUUUUUUUUUUUUUUUUUUUUUUUUUUUUUUUUUUGGGCAGGCCAGGAAGGAAAGGAAAAGCUGAAGUGCCUUAGGUGCACGGAAGCAUUUUGCUCUCUUCCCUGACUUUGCUUAGUGCCACCUGUGUUUCCCCACCGCAGGGUAAGAGCAGGAGGGCUGAGGAUUUGGGAUAGGCAAGCCUGGAACAGGGAAGAAAUUUCUUCACAUCUGUCCCUGGUUGUGGGACCUCUGGUUCUGGUGGCCAGGCAGUGAAAUCAGGAAGUUUGGGGAGAUAAACCCACCUCAUCCUGGUGGGAAGGAGAUGGGAGCAGCCUGGUCUAGUUGGAAGUGGAUGGCCUUUAGAGUCCCUUGCGAUCCAUGAGAUCAGUGUUCCUGUGGCUGUGGCAGGGAAAGAGGUGGUGGAGAAGCUGUUCUGUGAGCAGCACAGGAUGGUUUUGAGUAUCCCCUAAAGUGCUUCAGCUCAGAGUGGAAAAGAAAAAAUAACCCUCUUGGGAACGCUGAUGCAUUUGCCAGGGUUUCUGUAGCCACAAUAUACCCCAGGCAACCACCCAUGGUUCAUUUACAAGCCCUGGGUGGUGCAGAAAACAAGAACUGCCCUUCAGAACCCCCCUAAGGACCUUCUCCCGCAGUCCCCCGGUGCUGACACAGCCCAGCUUCACAG
RNAcentral lists this long non-coding RNA (1358 nucleotides) under Taeniopygia guttata (zebra finch). RNAcentral describes it as "lncRNA (ENSTGUG00000021436.1)". Lineage: Eukaryota; Metazoa; Chordata; Aves; Passeriformes; Estrildidae. The record is from RNAcentral.